Non-coding RNA from Acanthosepion pharaonis, 99 nucleotides. The record is from the annotation of a GenBank genome assembly. NCBI's taxonomy places the organism in Eukaryota, Metazoa, Mollusca, Cephalopoda, Sepiida, Sepiidae.
AUUGAAACACUGACUCCCGUACAAUCAGCGAAGUUAAGCAACGCCGAGCUUGGGCAGUACCUAGAUGGGUGAGCCUUUGUAAAUACCAGGUCCUGUAAG